This 886-nucleotide ribosomal RNA is filed under the name Catillaria flexuosa. RNAcentral's name for it is "Catillaria sp. PA-2020a partial large subunit ribosomal RNA". Lineage: Eukaryota; Fungi; Ascomycota; Lecanoromycetes; Lecanorales; Catillariaceae. The record is from RNAcentral.
GAAACCAACCGGGAUUGCCCCAGUAACGGCGAGUGAAGCGGCAACAGCUCAAAUUUGAAAUCUGGCUCCCCGCGGGGUCCGAGUUGUAAUUUGUAGAGGAUGUUUCGGGUGACGGACCGGCCUAAGUUCCUUGGAACAGGGCGUCAUAGAGGGUGAGAAUCCCGUCUGUGGUYSGCCMMCGGRWMCCCGCCAGAAACUCCUUCGACGAGUCGAGUUGUUUGGGAAUGCAGCUCUAAAUGGGUGGUAAAUUUCAUCUAAAGCUAAAUACCGGCCGGAGACCGAUAGCGCACAAGUAGAGUGAUCGAAAGAUGAAAAGCACUUUGGAAAGAGAGUCAAACAGUAUGUGAAAUUGUUGAAAGGGAAGCGCCUGCGACCAGACCCGUCUCCGGGCGAUCACCCGCCGUUCGYGGCGGGGUACUCGCCCGGUAGCGGGCCAGCAUCGGUUUGGGCGGCCGGACAAAGGCCCCGGAAAUGUACCUUCCCCCCGGGGAAGACUUAUAGCCCGGGGUGCAAUGCGGCCAGCCGAGACCGAGGACCGCGCUUCGGCUAGGAUGCUGGCGUAAUGGUCGUAGGCGGCCCGUCUUGAAACACGGACCAAGGAGUCUAACAUCUAUGCGAGUGUUUGGGUGUCAAACCCAUGCGCGCAAUGAAAGUGAACGGAGGUGGGACCCCGUCCGGGCGCAUCAUCGACCGAUCCAGAUGUCUUCGGAUGGAUUUGAGUACGAGCAUAGCUGUUGGGACCCGAAAGAUGGUGAACUACACAUGGAUAGGGUGAAGCCAGAGGAAACUCUGGUGGAGGCUCGCAGCGGUUCUGACGUGCAAAUCGAUCGUCAAAUCAGUGUGUAGGGGCGAAAGACUUAUCGAACCAUUGACCCCGGACUUGCUC